This 558-nucleotide long non-coding RNA is filed under the name Bos taurus (domestic cattle). RNAcentral's name for it is "long non-coding RNA NONBTAT013798". Lineage: Eukaryota; Metazoa; Chordata; Mammalia; Artiodactyla; Bovidae. The record is from RNAcentral.
CAGUGAAACUAAUUUUUUACUUACUAAUAUGAGAGUAACAAUUCUGGUAAGCAUCUAGUCAAUCAGAUUCAAACAAAAUUUAGCAAACAAGUAGCUAUCGCCUUUCUCCAUUCCUUCUGCAAGAAUAAAAUGGAAGAGACGUAACUGUUAUUGUUACAAACAAUACAAUAAUAAUAUUUUCUCCCAUAAUUGUGACAGGACAGGCAUAACCAGUGCAGAAAGUAUGUUUUUGGCAUGUCUUAACAUAUAAAAUUUAUUCCAUAUUAUUAUAGUGGUAUCUAUUUAAUAACAUUAUGCAUUUCAAAUCUGGGUCACUUGUUAUCUGUAAUAAAUUUCUGCAUGACAGCAUCUGAGAAUAUGUGGAGACACAGCUGCUGCAAAGUCAUUUAACCAAGAAAAAAAAUGACUCAGAUUUUACUCACAUUUAAAAAAUAACUAAUAAAUAAGGAGGGAAGGCGUAGGGCUAACUCAGAGUCUAAAAAUUCUGCCGUUAAUGACUUUUUUGUCUCAGAGUUAGCAAAACAGUUUGAUUGACAUAAACUGGAUCUAAGAAAUCAC